GACGAACGCUGGCGGCGUGCUUAACACAUGCAAGUCGAACGGAAAGGCCCUGCUCUUGUGGGGUGCUCGAGUGGCGAACGGGUGAGUAACACGUGAGUAACCUGCCCUUGACUUUGGGAUAACUUCAGGAAACUGGGGCUAAUAUCGGAUAGGAGCUCCUGCUGCAUGGGGGGGGUUGGAAAGUUUCGGCGGUUGGGGAUGGACUAGCGGCUUAUCAGCUUGUUGGUGGGGUAGUGGCUUACCAAGGCUUUGACGGGUAGCCGGCCUGGGAGGGUGACCGGCCACAUUGGGACUGAGAUACGGCCCAGACUCCUACGGGAGGCAGCAGUGGGGAAUAUUGCACAAUGGGCGGAAGCCUGAUGCAGCAACGCCGCGUGCGGGAUGACGGCCUUCGGGUUGUAAACCGCUUUCGCCUGUGACGAAGCGUGAGUGACGGUAAUGGGUAAAGAAGCACCGGCUAACUACGUG
RNAcentral lists this ribosomal RNA (468 nucleotides) under uncultured bacterium. Its description in RNAcentral is "partial 16S ribosomal RNA". It matches the Rfam family "Bacterial small subunit ribosomal RNA", at positions 28 to 507 of the family's 1533-position model. The record is from RNAcentral.